GAUGAACGCUGGCGGCGUGCCUAAUACAUGCAAGUCGAGCGAACAGACGAGGAGCUUGCUCCUCUGACGUUAGCGGCGGACGGGUGAGUAACACGUGGAUAACCUACCUAUAAGACUGGGAUAACUUCGGGAAACCGGAGCUAAUACCGGAUAAUAUAUUGAACCGCAUGGUUCAAUAGUGAAAGACGGUUUUGCUGUCACUUAUAGAUGGAUCCGCGCCGCAUUAGCUAGUUGGUAAGGUAACGGCUUACCAAGGCGACGAUGCGUAGCCGACCUGAGAGGGUGAUCGGCCACACUGGAACUGAGACACGGUCCAGACUCCUACGGGAGGCAGCAGUAGGGAAUCUUCCGCAAUGGGCGAAAGCCUGACGGAGCAACGCCGCGUGAGUGAUGAAGGUCUUCGGAUCGUAAAACUCUGUUAUUAGGGAAGAACAAAUGUGUAACUAACUAUGCACGUCUUGACGGUACCUAAUCAGAAAGCCACGGCUAACUACGUG
RNAcentral lists this ribosomal RNA (497 nucleotides) under uncultured bacterium. RNAcentral's name for it is "partial 16S ribosomal RNA". It matches the Rfam family "Bacterial small subunit ribosomal RNA", at positions 28 to 507 of the family's 1533-position model. The record is from RNAcentral.